ACUUUUAAAGGAUAUUAGUAAUCCAUUGGUCUUAGGAACCAAAAACCUAGGUGCAACUCCAAGUAAAAGUA
This is a non-coding RNA of Anolis carolinensis (green anole), 71 nucleotides long. Lineage: Eukaryota; Metazoa; Chordata; Lepidosauria; Squamata; Anolidae. The record is from Ensembl.